CCUACGGGAGGCAGCAGUGGGGAAUAUUGCACAAUGGGCGAAACCCUGAUCCAGCGACGCCGCGUGAGUGAAGAAGUAUCUCGGUACGUUAAGCUCUAUCAGCAGGGAAGAAAAUGACGGUACCUGACUAAGAAGCCACGGCUAACUACGUGCAAGCAGCCGCGGUACUACGUAGGGGGCAAGCGUUAUCCGGAUUUACUGGGGGUAAAGGGAGCGUAGACGGCGCUUCAAGUCCGGAGUGAAAGCCCAUGGCUGAACCAUGGUACUGAGCUGGAAACUGUAGAGCUUGAGUGCGGUAGGGGCAGGCGGAAUGCCUAGUGUAGCGGUGAAAUGCGUAGAUAUUAGGAGGAACACCGGCGGCGAAGGCGGCCUGCUGGACCGUAACUGACGCUGAGGCUCGAAAGCGUGGGGAGCAAACAGGAUUAGAUACCCGUGUAGUC
Molecule: ribosomal RNA, 440 nt
Filed under: uncultured bacterium
Lineage: Bacteria
Description: partial 16S ribosomal RNA
Rfam family: Bacterial small subunit ribosomal RNA
Source: RNAcentral